GGGCCCGUGGCUUAGCCCGGUUAGAGCGCCCGGCUGAUAUCCGGGAGGUCCCGGGUUCAAAUCCCGGCGGGCCCACCA
RNAcentral lists this transfer RNA (78 nucleotides) under Pyrobaculum ferrireducens. RNAcentral's name for it is "tRNA-Ile (GAT) (tRNA-Ile-GAT-1-1)". It matches the Rfam family "tRNA". From Rfam's summary of the family: Transfer RNA (tRNA) molecules are approximately 80 nucleotides in length. Their secondary structure includes four short double-helical elements and three loops (D, anti-codon, and T loops). RNAcentral also lists the same sequence under 2 other names. Lineage: Archaea; Thermoproteati; Thermoproteota; Thermoprotei; Thermoproteales; Thermoproteaceae. The record is from RNAcentral.